This 204-nucleotide ribosomal RNA is filed under the name Triticum aestivum (bread wheat). RNAcentral describes it as "partial small subunit ribosomal RNA". Lineage: Eukaryota; Viridiplantae; Streptophyta; Magnoliopsida; Poales; Poaceae. The record is from RNAcentral.
GUAGGUAACGUAUUUGGUUUCAAAGCCCUACGUGCUCUACGUUUGGAGGAUCUACGAAUUCCCCCUACUUAUUCAAAAACUUUCCAAGGCCCGCCUCAUGGUAUCCAAGUUGAAAGAGAUAAGUUGAACAAGUAUGGUCGUCCUUUAUUGGGAUGUACUAUUAAACCAAAAUUGGGAUUAUCCGCAAAAAUACUUUGUAAAUAA